Molecule: non-coding RNA, 115 nt
Organism: Triticum aestivum (bread wheat)
Lineage: Eukaryota; Viridiplantae; Streptophyta; Magnoliopsida; Poales; Poaceae
Source: Rfam
GAAGUACUCCCUCCGUUCAGAAUUAGUUGUCUCAGAAAUUGAUGUAUCUAGAAUUAAAAUACGUCUAGAUACAUCCAUUUCUGCGACAAGUAAUUCCGAACAGAGGGAGUAGAUU